UUUAUGGAGAGUUUGAUCCUGGCUCAGAGUGAACGCUGGCGGCGUGCCUAAUACAUGCAAGUCGAACGAUGAAGCUUCUAGCUUGCUAGAAUGCUGAUUAGUGGCGCACGGGUGAGUAACGCAUAGGUCAUGUGCCUCUUAGUUUGGGAUAGCCAUUGGAAACGAUGAUUAAUACCAGAUACUCCCUACGGGGGAAAGAUUUAUCGCUAAGAGAUCAGCCUAUGUUCUAUCAGCUUGUUGGUAAGGUAAUGGCUUACCAAGGCUAUGACGGGUAUCCGGCCUGAGAGGGUGAACGGACACACUGGAACUGAGACACGGUCCAGACUCCUACGGGAGGCAGCAGUAGGGAAUAUUGCUCAAUGGGGGAAACCCUGAAGCAGCAACGCCGCGUGGAGGAUGAAGGUUUUAGGAUUGUAAACUCCUUUUGUUAGAGAAGAUAAUGACGGUAUCUAACGAAUAAGCACCGGCUAACUCCGUGCCAGCAGCCGCGGUAAUACGGAGGGUGCAAGCGUUACUCGGAAUCACUGGGCGUAAAGAGCGCGUAGGCGGGAUAGUCAGUCAGGUGUGAAAUCCUAUGGCUUAACCAUAGAACUGCAUUUGAAACUACUAUUCUAGAGUGUGGGAGAGGUAGGUGGAAUUCUUGGUGUAGGGGUAAAAUCCGUAGAGAUCAAGAGGAAUACUCAUUGCGAAGGCGACCUGCUGGAACAUUACUGACGCUGAUUGCGCGAAAGCGUGGGGAGCAAACAGGAUUAGAUACCCUGGUAGUCCACGCCCUAAACGAUGGAUGCUAGUUGUUGGAGGGCUUAGUCUCUCCAGUAAUGCAGCUAACGCAUUAAGCAUCCCGCCUGGGGAGUACGGUCGCAAGAUUAAAACUCAAAGGAAUAGACGGGGACCCGCACAAGCGGUGGAGCAUGUGGUUUAAUUCGAAGAUACACGAAGAACCUUACCUAGGCUUGACAUUGAGAGAAUCCGCUAGAAAUAGUGGAGUGUCUAGCUUGCUAGACCUUGAAAACAGGUGCUGCACGGCUGUCGUCAGCUCGUGUCGUGAGAUGUUGGGUUAAGUCCCGCAACGAGCGCAACCCCCUUUCUUAGUUGCUAACAGGUCAUGCUGAGAACUCUAAGGAUACUGCCUCCGUAAGGAGGAGGAAGGUGGGGACGACGUCAAGUCAUCAUGGCCCUUACGCCUAGGGCUACACACGUGCUACAAUGGGGUGCACAAAGAGAAGCAAUACUGCGAAGUGGAGCCAAUCUUCAAAACGCCUCUCAGUUCGGAUUGUAGGCUGCAACUCGCCUGCAUGAAGCUGGAAUCGCUAGUAAUCGCAAAUCAGCCAUGUUGCGGUGAAUACGUUCCCGGGUCUUGUACUCACCGCCCGUCACACCAUGGGAGUUGUGUUUGCCUUAAGUCAGGAUGCUAAACUAGCUACUGCCCACGGCACACACAGCGACUGGGGUGAAGUCGUAACAAGGUAACCGUAGGUGAACCUGCGGUUGGAUCACCUCCUUUCUAGA
RNAcentral lists this ribosomal RNA (1509 nucleotides) under Helicobacter pylori. RNAcentral describes it as "bacterial SSU rRNA". It matches the Rfam family "Bacterial small subunit ribosomal RNA". The record is from RNAcentral. Lineage: Bacteria; Pseudomonadati; Campylobacterota; Epsilonproteobacteria; Campylobacterales; Helicobacteraceae.